AUGAACGCUGGCGGCGUGCCUAAUCCCUGCAAGUCGCGCGAACAGACGAGGAGCUUGCUCCUCUGACGUUAGCGGCGGACGGGUGAGUAACACGUGGAUAACCUACCUAUAAGACUGGGAUAACUUCGGGAAACCGAAGCUAAUACCGGAUAAUAUAUUGAACCGCAUGGUUCAAUAGUGAAAGACGGUUUUGCUGUCACUUAUAGAUGGAUCCGCGCCGCAUUAGCUAGUUGGUAAGGUAACGGCUUACCAAGGCAACGAUGCGUAGCCGACCUGAGAGGGUGAUCGGCCACACUGGAACUGAGACACGGUCCAGACUCCUACGGGAGGCAGCAGUAGGGAAUCUUCCGCAAUGGGCGAAAGCCUGACGGAGCAACGCCGCGUGAGUGAUGAAGGUCUUCGGAUCGUAAAACUCUGUUAUUAGGGAAGAACAAAUGUGUAAGUAACUAUGCACGUCUUGACGGUACCUAAUCAGAAAGCCACGGCUAACUACGUG
Molecule: ribosomal RNA, 496 nt
Filed under: uncultured bacterium
Lineage: Bacteria
Description: partial 16S ribosomal RNA
Rfam family: Bacterial small subunit ribosomal RNA
Source: RNAcentral